AAACUUACAGCACCAAAAUGACUUGUGAAGGAAUGGUGAGAACACAUCUUGACCAGUUUCCAGAGUUAAAUACAGAUAGAUAUGAUAGCAUCGUUAAGGAGAACGAAUAAAAGGAUUCACAAGAAAUGAACAUGAUGAAACAUUUGGCAAAUUGCCCCAGAACUGGAAAGGCAUGAAAGGCUAAACAUGCUAAAGGAGUAAAAUGAAGUUCACAAGAAAUAAGAUUUCAGACAUGUGCUGCAGCUAGAAACACUGAAACAGAUAUAUGCAACAUGUGGGAAUAUUUUGCAUAUAAAAUUUAAAGAAUGAAUAAAUGGGGAUAGGACAAAGUGUUUCCUGACAUUCCCGAGGAACUUGAAGGCUGUUUGUUUAAGAUAAGAAAACAACUUCAGCAUGCAAGAAAGGAGAUCCAUAGUUUGGAAUCAAAUAUUUGACAUUAAUUUAAUUCAUUUUUGUUGCUUAUACAAUUCUAUUUAUUUGAAAAUUAAAGUUGACUAAAACAUAA
Long non-coding RNA from Mytilus trossulus (common blue mussel), 505 nucleotides. RefSeq lists it as uncharacterized. Lineage: Eukaryota; Metazoa; Mollusca; Bivalvia; Mytilida; Mytilidae. The record is from RefSeq and is a predicted model, not a curated record. The transcript is spliced from 4 exons.